GACGAACGCUGGCGGCGUGCUUAACACAUGCAAGUCGAGCGAUGAAGCACCUUCGGGUGUGAAUUAGCGGCGAACGGGUGAGGAACACGUGAGAAAUCUGCCUUCAACACUGGGAUAACUCCGGGAAACCGGGGCUAAUACCGGAUAUGAAACCUGCGGGCAUCCGCGGGUUUGGAAAGUUUUUCGGUUGAAGAUGAUCUCGCGGCCUAUCAGCUUGUUGGUGAGGUAAUGGCUCACCAAGGCGACGACGGGUAGCCGGCCUGAGAGGGCGACCGGCCACACUGGGACUGAGACACGGCCCAGACUCCUACGGGAGGCAGCAGUGGGGAAUAUUGGGCAAUGGAGGAAACUCUGACCCAGCGACGCCGCGUGCGGGAUGAAGGCCUUCGGGUUGUAAACCGCUUUCAGCAGGGAAGAAGCGAAAGUGACGGUACCUGCAGAAGAAGCACCGGCUAACUAUGUGCCAGCAGCCGCGGUAAUACAUAGGGUGCAAGCGUUGUCCGGAAUUAUUGGGCGUAAAGAGCUCGUAGGUGGUUCGUCACGUCGGAUGUGAAACUCUGGGGCUUAACCCCAGACCUGCACUCGAUACGGGCGAGCUUGAGUAUGGUAGGGGAGUCUGGAAUUCCUGGUGUAGCGGUGGAAUGCGCAGAUAUCAGGAGGAACACCAAUGGCGAAGGCAGGACUCUGGGCCAUUACUGACACUGAGGAGCGAAAGCGUGGGGAGCGAACAGGAUUAGAUACCCUGGUAGUCCACGCCGUAAACGGUGGGCACUAGUUGUGGGGACCUUCCACGGUCUCUGCGACGCAGCUAACGCAUUAAGUGCCCCGCCUGGGGAGUACGAUCGCAAGAUUAAAACUCAAAGGAAUUGACGGGGCCCCGCACAAGCAGCGGANCAUGCGGCUUAAUUCGACGC
RNAcentral lists this ribosomal RNA (914 nucleotides) under uncultured bacterium. Its description in RNAcentral is "bacterial SSU rRNA". It matches the Rfam family "Bacterial small subunit ribosomal RNA", at positions 28 to 957 of the family's 1533-position model. The record is from RNAcentral.